GGGCCGGUGGUCUAGGGGUCAUGACGUCGCCCUUACAAGGCGAAGUUCGGCGGUUCAAAUCCGCCUCGGCCCA
RNAcentral lists this transfer RNA (73 nucleotides) under Thermoplasmata archaeon. Its description in RNAcentral is "tRNA-Val". It matches the Rfam family "tRNA". From Rfam's summary of the family: Transfer RNA (tRNA) molecules are approximately 80 nucleotides in length. Their secondary structure includes four short double-helical elements and three loops (D, anti-codon, and T loops). Further hydrogen bonds mediate the characteristic L-shaped molecular structure. tRNAs have two regions of fundamental functional importance: the anti-codon, which is responsible for specific mRNA codon recognition, and the 3' end, to which the tRNAs corresponding amino acid is attached (by aminoacyl-tRNA synthetases). tRNAs cope with the degeneracy of the genetic code in two manners: having more than one tRNA (with a specific anti-codon) for a particular amino acid; and 'wobble' base-pairing, i.e. permitting non-standard base-pairing at the 3rd anti-codon position. RNAcentral also lists the same sequence under 2 other names. Lineage: Archaea; Methanobacteriati; Thermoplasmatota; Thermoplasmata. The record is from RNAcentral.